CAGAAACUUUGCAAGAUACCAGCUUAUUCCACAUCCACUCAACCAACACAAAAUCAAGACGAAAACGAUAACACGGAAACGUUAUUGCUAUCUGGCGGAGGAACUUCGGGGCAACUGAUUUUAUCUCAUAAUAAUGCCUCAUCAGAAAAAGAAACAGAUACAACGUUGCCUAACUUAUCUGAAAACAACGUUGCCAGAAUGAGGUGGUUGGAAGGGGAUGAUUCGGACGAAGAUAUCGACUACAAUUAUCAAGACAAUCUCAGUAGUAAACACCACCAAAUCCACACUGAAAAUAUCACUCCAAGAUUUGCAAACACUAGAAAAAUGUUGCCAAAAAUAUACGAUUCCGCAAAAGUCAGAAGAAAUAUAUUCAACGAUCCUAGAUCAUUGUGUAACAAAAUAAAGAUGUCAUGCAAUAUUAG
Styela clava is the source of this 422-nucleotide non-coding RNA. NCBI's taxonomy places the organism in Eukaryota, Metazoa, Chordata, Ascidiacea, Stolidobranchia, Styelidae. The record is from RefSeq and is a predicted model, not a curated record.